This 253-nucleotide ribosomal RNA is filed under the name uncultured prokaryote. RNAcentral describes it as "partial 16S ribosomal RNA". It matches the Rfam family "Bacterial small subunit ribosomal RNA", at positions 524 to 776 of the family's 1533-position model. The record is from RNAcentral.
UACAGAGGGUGCGAGCGUUAAUCGGAAUUACUGGGCGUAAAGGGCGCGUAGGCGGUUAUGCUAGUGUGAUGUGAAAGCCCUGGGCUUAACCUGGGAAGUGCAUCGCAAACGACAUAGCUGGAGUAUAAGAGAGGGUGGCGGAAUUUCCGGUGUAGCGGUGAAAUGCGUAGAGAUCGGAAAGAACGUCGAUGGCGAAGGCAGCCACCUGGCUUAAUACUGACGCUGAGGCGCGAAAGCGUGGGUAGCGAACAGG